Molecule: ribosomal RNA, 497 nt
Filed under: uncultured bacterium
Lineage: Bacteria
Description: partial 16S ribosomal RNA
Rfam family: Bacterial small subunit ribosomal RNA
Source: RNAcentral
GAUGAACGCUGGCGGCGUGCCUAAUACAUGCAAGUCGAGCGAACAGACGAGGAGCUUGCUCCUCUGACGUUAGCGGCGGACGGGUGAGUAACACGUGGAUAACCUACCUAUAAGACUGGGAUAACUUCGGGAAACCGGAGCUAAUACCGGAUAAUAUAUUGAACCGCAUGGUUCAAUAGUGAAAGACGGUUUUGCUGUCACUUAUAGAUGGAUCCGCGCCGCAUUAGCUAGUUGGUAAGGUAACGGCUUACCAAGGCGACGAUGCGUAGCCGACCUGAGAGAGUGAUCGGCCACACUGGAACUGAGACACGGUCCAGACUCCUACGGGAGGGAGCAGUAGGGAAUCGUCCGCAAUGGGCGAAAGCCUGACGGAGCAACGCCGAGUGAGUGAUGAAGGUCUUCGGAUCGUAAAACUCGGUUAUUAGGGAAGAACAAAUGUGUAAGUAACUAUGCACGUCUUGACGGUACCUAAUCAGAAAGCCACGGCUAACUACGUG